UAUUAAUUAUUUUUUCUUAAUUAAAACACUAUUUGUUUUUUAUUUGAGAUGGGCCUCACAUUUCUUGGGAUUUGUAAGGGAAAGGUUAGUGGAUACUGAAUAAAUUGCAUUUUCCAUUCGGUGAGGGCUAUUAAUGAAAUAUGACGCUAAGUUGAUUAGUCUAAGAAAGAGCAAUACUUAUUUUAAUCCAAUACUUGUAUGUAAGUGUCCAAUGUACAAUACAUACUCUAUUUAGCAAAUGUGCAAGCAGAGGAAUCAGAUACUAAAUUCUGUCUGUAAUUCAAUAGGAACUAGUUCAUGGUUUUGCAUGUAAAGAGCAGAAGAAGUGGUGAGAACUGUUACCAAUACACAGUGGCAAAUUUAAACACCUCUAAAGCUUUUUCUAUGGUAUGAUUGUAGAUGUGCAGUCUCUAUGCUUGCUUGCUUUCAUGCUACAUUGCUGUGCUCAAUUUAAUUAAAUACUGCUUGGGACCAUGGUUUUAUUUUUGUUGUAUGUGCACACCACAUGGAUUUAUACUUUACUUUUUUUUGGUGGGGGUGGGGGGUCUUUUGCAUCUUUAUCAUAUUUUUCCCCAUUUCUAUUCACUCCUCAUCUUAGGAUUUCACAUCCUCUGAAGUGCGAGUGUAAUCACUGCAAGUUCAUCCACUGCUGCUACUUGCGAAUGCCUGCAACGUGCACAAGGCUCAGACAUUAUGGGGACAACUCAGAUUCUGCCUGGCAUUUUGCAGAAGCAUUGCUGUAUUUUACCAGACAGGAAUACAGAAUAAAGUGGAAGAUGAUGUGAAAUUACUUCUUUGGGUAAGUUCUUACUCUUGUGUAUGGAUUAUGGUGUGGUAAGUUUGGCUUUUGAACAAUUAUAUGGAAGGAAAAUCUCAAGGCGAGUGAGUGAGAGAAGAGAUAUUUGUUGAGUUAAUAUUUCCCCCUCUACCCUGGAAAAAACAAAAUAUUAAUUUGAAAUGCAUUUAUUUAAUCGGAAGCCCUUGCUUGAAACUUGGAGUCAUCGUAAAACGUGAAGAUUUAUAAAACUUAUUCAUCAUCAUAAAUAUGGUGAAAUUUGGCUGUGUGACAAAUUGUGUGAACGUUUUAAAAUACUUGAAGUAGUUGUGCAUUAAUUUCAUAGAGGGUGAGAAAAUACACAAACACCAACUUAUCAUUUGUGUGAUCUGUUGAGAACAUAUAUCAAUGCAUGAGGCACUUCCAUUUUUUCAAAAAUAACUAAAAUUAAAAUAAACCUGAUUUCUUUCCCUCA
This 1250-nucleotide long non-coding RNA is filed under the name Chrysemys picta bellii (western painted turtle). RNAcentral's name for it is "lncRNA (ENSCPBG00000021823.1)". Lineage: Eukaryota; Metazoa; Chordata; Testudines; Emydidae. The record is from RNAcentral.